CCAAUGUGCCCUUAUCCCAUAGGUACCACACUGUGCCCUUAUCCCAUAGGUACCCACUGUGCCCUUAUCCCAUAGGUACCAAUGUGCCCUUAUCCCAUAGGUACCACACUGUGCCCUUAUCCCAUAGGACCCCAUACCAUCCCCUUAUCCCAUAGGACCCCAUACCAUCCCCUUAUCCCACAGGUCCCCAAACUGUCCCCUAUAUCCCAUAGGUCCCCACACUGUCCCCUAUAUCCCAUAGGGCCCCACACUGUGCCCUUAUCCCAUAGGUCCCCAUACUGUGCCCUUAUCCCAUAGGACCCCAUACCAUCCCCUAUAUCCCAUAGGGCCCCACACUGUGCCCUUAUCCCAUAGGUCCCCACACCGUCCCCUUAUCCCAUAGGUCCCCACACUGUCCCCUAUAUCCCACAGGUCCCCAAACUGUCCCCUAUAUCCCAUAGGUCCCCACACUGUCCCCUAUAUCCCAUAGGUCCCCACACCGAACCCUUAUCCCA
Molecule: long non-coding RNA, 494 nt
Filed under: Coturnix japonica (Japanese quail)
Lineage: Eukaryota; Metazoa; Chordata; Aves; Galliformes; Phasianidae
Description: lncRNA (ENSCJPG00005001607.1)
Source: RNAcentral